This 427-nucleotide ribosomal RNA is filed under the name uncultured bacterium. RNAcentral's name for it is "bacterial SSU rRNA". It matches the Rfam family "Bacterial small subunit ribosomal RNA", at positions 354 to 796 of the family's 1533-position model. The record is from RNAcentral.
GUGAGGAAUAUUGCACAAUGGACGAAAGUCUGAUGCAGCGACGCCGCGUGGGUGACGAAGGCCCUCGGGUCGUAAAACCCUUUUGGCAGGGACGAGUGAGGACGGUACCUGUCGAAUAAGUCUCGGCGAACUACGUGCCAGCAGCCGCGGUAAAACGUAGGAGGCGAGCGUUAUCCGGAUUCACUGGGCGUAAAGCGCACGUAGGCGGUUAGGUAAGUCGGGUGUUAAAGCCCCUGGCUCAACUGGGGGAGGUCAUUCGAUACUGCUUGGCUUGAGGAUGAAAGAGGAGAGUGGAAUUCCCGGUGUAGCGGUGGAAUGCGUAGAGAUCGGGAGGAACACCAGUGGCGAAAGCGGCUCUCUGGUUCAUUCCUGACGCUGAGUGUGCGAAAGCGUGGGGAGCAAACGGGAUUAGAUACCCCUGUAGUCC